UAGGGAAUCUUCGGCAAUGGACGCAAGUCUGACGGAGCAACGCCGCGUGAGUGAAGAAGGAUUUCGGUUCGUAAAACUCUGUUGUUAGAGAAGAACAGCGCAUAGAGUAACUGUUAUGCGUGUGACGGUAUCUAACCAGAAAGCCACGGCUAACUACGUGCCAGCAGCUGCGGUAAUACGUAGGUGGCAAGCGUUGUCCGGAUUUAUUGGGCGUAAAGCGAGCGCAGGCGGUCAAUUAAGUCUGAUGUGAAAGCCCCCGGCUCAACCGGGGAGGGUCAUUGGCAACUGGUUGACUUGAGUGCAGAAGAGGAGAGUGGAAUUCCAUGUGUAGCGGUGAAAUGCGUAGAUAUAUGGAGGAACACCAGUGGCGAAGGCGACUCUCUGGUCUGUAACUGACGCUGAGGCUCGAAAGCGUGGGUAGCAAACAGG
Molecule: ribosomal RNA, 429 nt
Filed under: Bacteroidota bacterium
Lineage: Bacteria; Pseudomonadati; Bacteroidota
Description: Bacteroidetes bacterium partial 16S ribosomal RNA
Rfam family: Bacterial small subunit ribosomal RNA
Source: RNAcentral